This 478-nucleotide ribosomal RNA is filed under the name uncultured bacterium. RNAcentral's name for it is "partial 16S ribosomal RNA". It matches the Rfam family "Bacterial small subunit ribosomal RNA", at positions 28 to 523 of the family's 1533-position model. The record is from RNAcentral.
GACGAACGCUGGCGGCGUGCUUAACACAUGCAAGUCGAACGGUAAGGCCCUUCGGGGUACACGAGUGGCGAACGGGUGAGUAACACGUGGGUGAUCUGCCCUGCACUUCGGGAUAAGCCUGGGAAACUGGGUCUAAUACCGGACAGGACCACUGCCUGCAUGGGUGGUGGUGGAAAGCUUUUGCGGUGUGGGAUGGGCCCGCGGCCUAUCAGCUUGUUGGUGGGGUGAUGGCCUACCAAGGCGACGACGGGUAGCCGGCCUGAGAGGGUGACCGGCCACACUGGGACUGAGGUACGGGCCAGACUCCUAGGGGAGGGAGCAGUGGGGAAUAUUGCACAAUGGGCGCAAGCCUGAUGCAGCGACGCCGCGUGAGGGAUGACGGCCUUCGGGUUGUAAACCUCUUUCAGCACCGACGAAGCGCAAGUGACGGUAGGUGCAGAAGAAGGACCGGCCAACUACGUGCCAGCAGCCGCUGUAA